Molecule: long non-coding RNA, 738 nt
Filed under: Mytilus galloprovincialis (Mediterranean mussel)
Lineage: Eukaryota; Metazoa; Mollusca; Bivalvia; Mytilida; Mytilidae
Source: RNAcentral
CCACAUUUAAUGUUUAUUACAUGUUUUCAUUUUUAUCCGGAACAAAUUGAACUGGACCGUUUUCUUAAAUCACCGCAUUUAUCGACCACCUUUAAUUUAUGUGACACCGUCCGCUUCAAUAUUUCAACGCAUGGAAAAUGGACGACUUUUCUACUUUCUGAGGAAAUCGAGACAUACCACUGUCAAGUACGUUUGAUUCAUUCAUAAACUGUGAUAAAUUAUUCUGUUUAACUCCGAUAUUUUUAGAUAAGUGAUUUAUAAAUACAUACGAACUGUAAGUUAUUUAUUUCCGAGAAAUGAACUGUAAAUUCUACUUUCGUUUUUGACACGAUUAAUAAUCUUGUAUUUAACUUUCAUAUUUAAUUCGUACACAUUGUAAAAUAUUGUAUUUUUAUUUCUUUCAGUUUACCAAUCUACUGACUACUUGUAACCUUUCUGGUGGAAUAUAUUAAUUACAAUUUAUCAAACAAGUUGUGUUCGUUAUAUAUUCAUCGAGAUUGCGAUUGCAGUCACCUGGUUAAACUAGUUGAGUCCGGCUCAGCAUAGUAAAUUGACAACAACUUGUCUACACAUCUCCUGAACAGGAAAUACAACGGAGCAUCGUUCGUAGCUGUUACCUUGACACUACGCAACACAGCUUGUGCGUCCUAGGCAGCAAACCAACAACGUUGAACUAACACUGCCUACAAAUAGUUGAUUUACAUCAUGGAUCUCAGUCACAAGGAACAACAAGAAGAA